Molecule: transfer RNA, 71 nt
Filed under: Marmota monax (woodchuck)
Lineage: Eukaryota; Metazoa; Chordata; Mammalia; Rodentia; Sciuridae
Description: tRNA.Ala
Rfam family: tRNA
About the family: Transfer RNA (tRNA) molecules are approximately 80 nucleotides in length.
Source: RNAcentral
GGGGUUGUGGCUCAACGGUAGAGUGCUUACCUUGCAUGUGUGAGGAUCUGGGUUUGAUCCUCAGCACCACA